Cavia porcellus (domestic guinea pig) is the source of this 749-nucleotide long non-coding RNA. RefSeq lists it as uncharacterized. The transcript is spliced from 4 exons. NCBI's taxonomy places the organism in Eukaryota, Metazoa, Chordata, Mammalia, Rodentia, Caviidae. The record is from RefSeq and is a predicted model, not a curated record.
UCUCCCCUUCACUGCACCUGGAAGCCUGGGGGGACUCCAACAGUCUGGGCGCAGAUAUCCAGAGUCCUCCAGACACGCAGAGAGGCCGGUGAGGGCACCCCAGAUCUGCCCAGCUCCUCCUCUGCACACCAAUGGCCAGGCACGGCAGCUAAACAGGCUGGGCUAGGCUGAUAGUGUGGGCCGGCCCACCCGUCGGGAGCUCAGCAGUUCUCCAAGUGUAACCGGAAUGGGAGGCUGAUGUGGAAGCCUCAAACCCACCUCUCCCCUUCACUGCACCUGGAAGCCUGGGGGGACUCCAGCAGUCUGCGAGUACCAGGUCUUGAGACCAUGAUGACAUCAGUGAACAUCUUUUCCCAGGGCUUGCCAGGCCUGAGCAGUACUAUCCAUAUAUACCUGAUAAAUGAGAAAGACUUGCCAACUGAGAAUUAAGACAUUUUCUUAAGGUCUUUGACUGAUGACUAUGGAAAAUCCUAGAUGUCUUGGAAUUUUCAGGUCCCCAGUCAAUUGGAUAGCAUGCAUGCAAAAAGAGGGUAGAUCUUCUCACUCAGUCAACUGAUUCACAGGCCAAAGCCCUCUGGAAACACCUCGAUGGACACACCCAGAAACAAUGUUUACCAUUUCUCUAGAUAAUCAUUACCCAGUCAAGAUGACGGGUAAAAGUAAUGGUCACAUCUUUCUCUUAAUGAAUGAUGUCACUAUCUGAAAUUGGGAUAUGGAUAAAUAAAUUGUGGCAUAUUUCUAUAUGGAAA